Molecule: long non-coding RNA, 1747 nt
Organism: Peromyscus leucopus (white-footed mouse)
Lineage: Eukaryota; Metazoa; Chordata; Mammalia; Rodentia; Cricetidae
Exons: 5
Source: RefSeq, a predicted model, not a curated record
CCAUGGCAUGCUGAGAAGACAGGAACCCUAGCAGCUGAUGCUAAGUUCAGACUAAACUCACUGCAAGUCCCCGGGGAAAGUCACAAGAAAAUGCCUGUACUGUUCAUCACCUCUUAAAGAAGUCGGGAAAGGCCAGUUCAUGCAUGAAGGGGACGGACGAGGAUGACCACUCGUGUGGAUUGCUUGGUUUCACAGUCCCCUGCUCGAAUCCUUCCUCUUGCCUUGCUAUCACGAGAAACUUUAAUGGUUCAGCCCAACCAUUAAAACUAACAUUUCCGACGCAAGAAGAAAAGUAACUGGAAAUCGGGAAAUCCCUGAAGAAAUUUUCUGGACAAAGCGGUGGCCUCCGUUGAGACUCAAAGCAUAGAAGACGAGCUCUCUGCUGUGUCACAGGGACAAACCGCCUACUUCUGAGAGCUACUGAUUUCACAAGCCGCUGAAGGGAAGUUCACCAGGUCCCAGCAGCAAAAGCAGUGGAAACAGCUCACGCUUUCAGAAGUUGGCACAGGCUAUCACCUGGGAUUCCCUUCACUGUUACUGUCACGGAUGCCAUUAUUUCUGAGUUCCAAACAGGGCACCUGUGUCAAGCUGGAUAGGAACAGAGAGACACUCAAGUCACAGGAAGCCUGGACCUCUUUGACACUCACUGCGCGCUGACAGAUCCUCCCCCAGAAGACCCGACAGCAGCAAACACAUGCAUUGUUCUUCCUGUCAACCCGCUAUUGAAAGGUGAUCCACAGCUGAGCGGCAGUCGCCCUCGUUUGGGAGUGUUCGCGGGCAUGAGGCUGAAAGCUUAUUACCCCAGAAAGUGAAAGCCGAGAACACAAGUUCCUCAGAUCAGACUACAGCAUCAGGGGGCUGUCAGCUGCUUGAAGGGGAGAGGGGAACUGUCUCCAGCUGGGUAUUGAGGCUCCUCCUUCCUCCCUAAGUUCCUUUCCCACCCACCUCACCAUGGACAGCUCACCCCCAGAAAGCAGAGUCUAGAAAGCGCAGGGGUCUCCGUUACAGGGCUUUCAGAAGUUCUCCAAACAUGUGCCCCUAUGGAAGAAAGGGUCCCCCUGAAAUCAAGACGUGACCCAUCUCAGCAUCAUACAUUUGGUAACGUGUAGAACUUGACUCAGCAUUACUUGUUGAUCUACCUUCGCUAAACCAUGGGCUCCCUAAAGACCUGUUGAGGGUAGGAGCAUUGGCUUUGGUUGGGUCCAAGAGCUGGCUUCAUCAUCUUAUUCUCAAGGUCAGCUCUCAGAUCUUUCCACAACUCAAUUCCCUACACACUUAAAGAAAAAAUAUAAUUCUGUACGUCUAAAGUUCGUGUGUAGAUGCUGAUUCCCAGGCACCUUGUAUUUGACUGCAUUUAGAGAUAUGCUUCUUGAAGAGGUUAUUGUGAGCAAGUGAAGCACCAUUUGACAAUUAGAGGACAAGGACCCAUAUGCAUUCAGAGGAAAGACCACAAGGCGAUACAAGGAGGAGGAGGUGAUGGUUUCCAAGUCAAGGAAAGGGGCCUCAGUAGAAACCUAAUGAUGCCUUGGGUUUGAACUCGCAGCCUCUAGAACUGUAAGAAAGUGAAUCUCUGCUGUUUCCCCUUUCUUAGGGCUCAGUAGUCUCAGCAGCUGAUACCCAAUGCUGGGAGCUAGAGCUGCUUCAGCAGGAGUGAGCUGCAUCCUGUGCAAAACACUCAGAAGGGGAGCGGGGGCAGUUCUCAGUGGGUAGAGCACUUACUGCUCUUGCGGAGGACUCCAGUUCCAUU